Molecule: ribosomal RNA, 617 nt
Filed under: Vibrio crassostreae
Lineage: Bacteria; Pseudomonadati; Pseudomonadota; Gammaproteobacteria; Vibrionales; Vibrionaceae
Description: bacterial SSU rRNA
Rfam family: Bacterial small subunit ribosomal RNA
Source: RNAcentral
CAUGCAGUCGAGCGGAACGACACUAACAAUCCUUCGGGUGCGUUAAUGGGCGUCGAGCGGCGGACGGGUGAGUAAUGCCUAGGAAAUUGCCUUGAUGUGGGGGAUAACCAUUGGAAACGAUGGCUAAUACCGCAUAAUGCCUACGGGCCAAAGAGGGGGACCUUCGGGCCUCUCGCGUCAAGAUAUGCCUAGGUGGGAUUAGCUAGUUGGUGAGGUAAUGGCUCACCAAGGCGACGAUCCCUAGCUGGUCUGAGAGGAUGAUCAGCCACACUGGAACUGAGACACGGUCCAGACUCCUACGGGAGGCAGCAGUGGGGAAUAUUGCACAAUGGGCGAAAGCCUGAUGCAGCCAUGCCGCGUGUAUGAAGAAGGCCUUCGGGUUGUAAAGUACUUUCAGUUGUGAGGAAGGGGGUAGCGUUAAUAGCGCUAUCUCUUGACGUUAGCAACAGAAGAAGCACCGGCUAACUCCGUGCCAGCAGCCGCGGUAAUACGGAGGGGUGCGAGCGUUAAUCGGAAUUACUGGGCGUAAAGCGCAUGCAGGUGGUUCAUUAAGUCAGAUGUGAAAGCCCGGGGCUCAACCUCGGAACUGCAUUUGAAACUGGUGAACUAGAGUACUG